CCCUUAGAUGUUCUGGGCCGCACGCGCGCUACAAUGAUGAAUUCAACGAGUUUAUAACCUUGGUUGAAAAGCCUGGGUAAUCCUUUGAACUUUCGUCGUGAUGGGGCUAGACCCUUGCAAUUAUUGGUCUCCAACGAGGAAUUCCUAGUAAACGCAAGUCAUCAGCUUGCAUUGAUUACGUCCCUGCCCUUUGUACACACCGCCCGUCGCACCUACCGAUUGAAUGGUCCGGUGAAAUCUUCGGAUUGAGACUUUGUUUUCUUCACGGAAAACGCUGUUUUAAAAAGUUGAUUAAACCUUACCAUUUAGAGGAAGGUGAAGUCGUAACA
Molecule: ribosomal RNA, 329 nt
Filed under: uncultured eukaryote
Lineage: Eukaryota
Description: partial 18S ribosomal RNA
Rfam family: Eukaryotic small subunit ribosomal RNA
Source: RNAcentral